RNAcentral lists this ribosomal RNA (118 nucleotides) under Periophthalmus magnuspinnatus. Lineage: Eukaryota; Metazoa; Chordata; Actinopteri; Gobiiformes; Gobiidae. The record is from RNAcentral.
GGUUCUGACCAUACCACCUUGAGGAAACCAAAUCUUGUCUGACCUUGGAAGCUAAGCAGGGUUUGGCCUGGUUAAUACUUGAAUGGGAGACCUUUGGGAAUGCCAGGUGCUGCAGUGA